GAUGAACGCUAGCUACAGGCUUAACACAUGCAAGUCGAGGGGUAGCAGGGUAGCAAUACCGCUGACGACCGGCGCACGGGUGAGUAACACGUAUCCAACCUUCCCAUAACUCGGGGAUAGCCUUUCGAAAGAAAGAUUAAUACCCGAUAGUACUUUAUUAAGGCAUCUUAAGAAAGUUAAGGAUUUAUUGGUUAUGGAUGGGGAUGCGUUCCAUUAGAUAGUUGGUGAGGUAACGGCUCACCAAGUCUUCGAUGGAUAGGGGUUCUGAGAGGAAGGUCCCCCACAUUGGUACUGAGACACGGACCAAACUCCUACGGGAGGCAGCAGUGAGGAAUAUUGGUCAACGGGCGAGAGCCUGAACCAGCCAAGUAGCGUGAAGGAUGAAGGUCCUAUGGAUUGUAAACUUCUUUUAUAGUAGAAUAAAGUGAACCACGUGUGGUUUUUUGUAUGUAUACUAUGAAUAAGGAUCGGCUAACUUCGUGCCAGCCGCCGCGGUAA
This 498-nucleotide ribosomal RNA is filed under the name uncultured bacterium. RNAcentral describes it as "partial 16S ribosomal RNA". It matches the Rfam family "Bacterial small subunit ribosomal RNA", at positions 28 to 523 of the family's 1533-position model. The record is from RNAcentral.